GCCUGGGUGGCUCAGUCAGCUGAGUGUCUGACUUCGGCUCAGGUCAGGAUCUCACAGCUGGUGGGUUCAAGCCCCAUGUCAGGCU
Molecule: transfer RNA, 85 nt
Filed under: Felis catus (domestic cat)
Lineage: Eukaryota; Metazoa; Chordata; Mammalia; Carnivora; Felidae
Also listed under: 3 other names
Rfam family: tRNA
About the family: Transfer RNA (tRNA) molecules are approximately 80 nucleotides in length. Their secondary structure includes four short double-helical elements and three loops (D, anti-codon, and T loops). Further hydrogen bonds mediate the characteristic L-shaped molecular structure. tRNAs have two regions of fundamental functional importance: the anti-codon, which is responsible for specific mRNA codon recognition, and the 3' end, to which the tRNAs corresponding amino acid is attached (by aminoacyl-tRNA synthetases). tRNAs cope with the degeneracy of the genetic code in two manners: having more than one tRNA (with a specific anti-codon) for a particular amino acid; and 'wobble' base-pairing, i.e. permitting non-standard base-pairing at the 3rd anti-codon position.
Source: Rfam by way of RNAcentral